RNAcentral lists this ribosomal RNA (267 nucleotides) under uncultured bacterium. RNAcentral describes it as "partial 16S ribosomal RNA". It matches the Rfam family "Bacterial small subunit ribosomal RNA", at positions 355 to 614 of the family's 1533-position model. The record is from RNAcentral.
UAGGGAAUAUUGCGCAAUGGGCGAAAGCCUGACGCAGCCAUGCCGCGUGGAUGAUGAAGGCCUUCGGGUCGUAAAGUCCUUUUCUGAGGGAAGAACUGCCGGGGGAGGAAAUGCCCUUGGCUUGACGGUACCUCAGGAAUAAGCAACGGCUAACUCCGUGCCAGCAGCCGCGGUAAUACGGAGGUUGCAAGCGUUGUUCGGAAUGACUGGGCGUAAAGGGAGCGCAGGCGGCCAAGUCAGUCUGAAGUGAAAGCCCGGGGCUUAACC